This 490-nucleotide ribosomal RNA is filed under the name uncultured bacterium. RNAcentral's name for it is "partial 16S ribosomal RNA". It matches the Rfam family "Bacterial small subunit ribosomal RNA", at positions 29 to 507 of the family's 1533-position model. The record is from RNAcentral.
AGUGAACGCUGGCGGUAGGCCUAACACAUGCAAGUCGAACGGCAGCACAGGAGAGCUUGCUCUCUGGGUGGCGAGUGGCGGACGGGUGAGGAAUACAUCGGAAUCUGCCCAGUCGUGGGGGAUAACGUAGGGAAACUUACGCUAAUACCGCAUACGACCUUCGGGUGAAAGAGGGGGAUCGCAAGACCUCUCGCGAUUGGAUGAGCCGAUGUCGGAUUAGCUAGUUGGCGGGGUAAUGGCCCACCAAGGCGACGAUCCGUAGCUGGUCUGAGAGGAUGAUAAGCCACACUGGAACUGAGACACGGUACAGACUCAUACGGGAGGCAGCAGUGGGGAAUAUUGGACAAUGGGCGCAAGCCUGAUCCAGCCAUACCGCGUGGGUGAAGAAGGCCUUCGGGUUGUAAAGCCCUUUUGUUGGGAAAGAAAUCUUUCAGGCUAAUACCCUGGGAGGAUGACGGUACCCAAAGAAUAAGCACCGGCUAACUUCGUG